Eufriesea mexicana is the source of this 464-nucleotide long non-coding RNA. RefSeq lists it as uncharacterized. NCBI's taxonomy places the organism in Eukaryota, Metazoa, Arthropoda, Insecta, Hymenoptera, Apidae. The transcript is spliced from 3 exons. The record is from RefSeq and is a predicted model, not a curated record.
CACCUGGCUAUUCGCGACUGCAUUCCUUUCCCGUUGUUCUUUGAGCACUGUGCAGGAAAAUAACUCGAGAAUGUUGCUUAGACAUUGCAGAACACGAACGAUUACACUGUCCAACAAAUUUCAACCUUUUUUCUCUAAUAUUCAUUGGGUUAUGGUCGUAGAGUUUGCUUCCCUGAUGAUGAAUUCGUAAAAGAAAUUGUUUUGUCACCCUUGGUUGUCGAUAAACGUAAAAAAAUAAAUCAACAGGUUAUGGACCGCGAGUGCAGGCGACAUGUUUGAGCGCGGGGAACAAGAAUCGAGAAGGAAAUUAGAAAUAUCAAUGGAUGAAAGGAUGGAGAUGGAUAUCAUGAAAAUUUCAAGUCUUCUUCAUGCUGUGGUUUCAAGAAGACGUAUUAUUAAUUGAUGUACCAACCUGCACGUCAAGUCAUGAGAUAUGAGUACAAUUAAGCAAUAUAUAUUACAAG